GACGAACGCUGGCGGCGUGCUUAACACAUGCAAGUCGAACGGAAAGGCCCUGCUUUUGUGGGGUGCUCGAGUGGCGAACGGGUGAGUAACACGUGAGUAACCUGCCCUUGACUUUGGGAUAACUUCAGGAGACUGGGGCUAAUACCGGAUAGGAGCUCCUGCUGCAUGGUGGGGGUUGGAAAGUUUCGGCGGUUGGGGAUGGACUCGCGGCUUAUCAGCUUGUUGGUGGGGUAGUGGCUUACCAAGGCUUUGACGGGUAGCCGGCCUGAGAGGGUGACCGGCCACAUUGGGACUGAGAUACGGCCCAGACUCCUACGGGAGGCAGCAGUGGGGAAUAUUGCACAAUGGGCGGAAGCCUGAUGCAGCAACGCCGCGUGCGGGAUGACGGCCUUCGGAUUGUAAACCGCUUUCGCCUGUGACGAAGCGUGAGUGACGGUAAUGGGUAAAGAAGCACCGGCUAACUACGUG
This 468-nucleotide ribosomal RNA is filed under the name uncultured bacterium. RNAcentral's name for it is "partial 16S ribosomal RNA". It matches the Rfam family "Bacterial small subunit ribosomal RNA", at positions 28 to 507 of the family's 1533-position model. The record is from RNAcentral.